CCUACGGGAGGCAGCAGUGGGGAAUAUUGGACAAUGGGCGCAAGCCUGAUCCAGCAAUGCCGCGUGAGUGAUGAAGGCCUUAGGGUCGUAAAGCUCUUUUACCAGGGAUGAUAAUGACAGUACCUGGAGAAUAAGCUCCGGCUAACUCCGUGCCAGCAGCCGCGGUAAUACGGAGGGAGCUAGCGUUGUUCGGAAUUACUGGGCGUAAAGCGUACGUAGGCGGUUAUUCAAGUCAGAGGUGAAAGCCCGGGGCUCAACCCCGGAACGGCCUUUGAAACUAGGUAGCUAGAAUCUUGGAGAGGUCAGUGGAAUUCCGAGUGUAGAGGUGAAAUUCGUAGAUAUUCGGAAGAACACCAGUGGCGAAGGCGACUGACUGGACAAGUAUUGACGCUGAGGUACGAAAGCGUGGGGAGCAAACAGGAUUAGAUACCCUGGUAGUCCACGCCGUAAACGAUGAUAACUAGCUGUCCGGGCACUUGGUGCCUGGGUGGCGCAGCUACGACAUUAAGUUAUCCGUCCGUCGGGUAGGUACGGUCGCGAGAAUUAAAACGUUAAAAGUAAAGUUAGUACGGCGUGAGACGUGCCGACGGACGACGACGACGGGAGGUAGG
Molecule: ribosomal RNA, 611 nt
Filed under: uncultured bacterium
Lineage: Bacteria
Description: bacterial SSU rRNA
Rfam family: Bacterial small subunit ribosomal RNA (bases 1-518)
Source: RNAcentral